RNAcentral lists this long non-coding RNA (199 nucleotides) under Setaria italica (foxtail millet). RNAcentral's name for it is "long non-coding RNA (SITA_LNC002075)". Lineage: Eukaryota; Viridiplantae; Streptophyta; Magnoliopsida; Poales; Poaceae. The record is from RNAcentral.
AUGAUAGCAAGCAGGUGUAGGGGUCAGCAGGCUGGCUCAGUGGCUCCCCCUCGAAUUCAUGAAGGAAAUGAAACGGUAACAUUUCUUGUAGUAGCACACUAGCACUGCAGGGUUUGGCCUGGGUCCAUUGCUAUGGAUUAUUCUCGCAAAGAAAGCUGCGUGUCUGUGUUCUACCUUAGCUUCGUCCAUCAUAUCCCAU